Molecule: long non-coding RNA, 3564 nt
Organism: Pezoporus flaviventris
Lineage: Eukaryota; Metazoa; Chordata; Aves; Psittaciformes; Psittacidae
Exons: 3
Source: RefSeq, a predicted model, not a curated record
UCCCUCUAUGUGCAUGUCUCUGUGUGCAUGCGCAAGCAGAGGGAUGGAGGGGGGGCCUUAGAAAGCUUCGCUGAGAAAGGGACAUGGAUGGUACAAGUUUCAAGCUCUGAAAAAUGGUGCUUGGUCCAUCUAGCAGUCGCUGGCUUCAGCCUGGGCUGCCAAUGAACUCAGUAAAAAGAUUGACUCAGCUUAAAAAGGAACAUGACCUUAGUCUGUACCCUGAACAAUGGUUCAGAAAUGCCUGCCUGGCCACAGGCUGCAGUGACCUGUUGCCACUUGUGAUAGUUGCACUGUGAGCUCUGGGCAGCACCUUUAAGCUCCAUGUUUGUAGUGCACCCUGAAGAGGAUCAAUACCAAUUUUCUGAUGGGUGCUCCCACACAUUGCCACAGCAGAUUUUAAUAGCAGCGCCUGCCUGUGCAGGCAUGAGCAGGGAUGGCACUGCUUUCACCCUGCAAGCUCUGUAAUGACAGGGAGCUGCACUGGCAGCCGUUUUGUCUACAGAAGGGUCACUGGUUCCUGUGGGAAGAACAACAGGCUGUAACUGCUGGUGGAGGCAUCAGUUCAAGCCUCCUGUUUGCUCUCUUUCGGCUGGCAGUAAAAAUAAUUCAGUUUUAGAUAAUAAGGUGCUGUUCUUUCCAUGUGGAAAAAUCGGAAAGGCAUGCAAAACUCUCCCUCUUUUUUCCUGCUAAUUGCCUUGAUUUCUGCUUCCACACUCCCAGCUGCCUCUCCUCUUCAGGUUGCCCUUUUUGACUCCUUGAUUAACUUCUUUGUCCACCCGUUUACCACUUAGGACAUGGCGACCUUUGGAUGUAAAUCUGUGCUGACGUCUCUCCCGCUUGUGUGCUUUUGUCAGGGCUGACAUCUGCAAGGCUCCUUGUAGUGGAGGCGGGAGGGAGCUGGAUGGAUGGGGGUACCAGGCAGUGCCCUCCUCUGCCAGGACUGCUGCACUCCUUCACCCUGUGCUGUCAGCUCCCCAUCCCAAAGCUCAGCACCUUAGCCUAGGAUGCAAAAAACACAGAUUUUGGUCUCCAGCUACCAGGUGACAUGAGCAUAGAUGUAGCCUGCACCUUUUGGGUGUCUGCUGGCUCAGGAUGGACUGCCUGCUGUCACCUCCUAAAGCCACAGUCUUUAUUCAUUAACUGAAUUGGGGCAGGCAUUCUUGGUGAGAAAGCAGAAGCUUGUGUAUGGGCCCAGCCCACAUACACUGCCCUGUUUGAAAUGGGAGGCUUGUUCAUCUUAGGGUUUGGGGGGCUCCUCCAGAGUCAGAGCAAUGCAUUUGGUCCUAAUGUUACCUCAUGUUGAAACAGAUCCUCCCUGAUCUGUUGUCUCUGACAAGCCUUGCAGCUGGGAGGGGGCCAGAGACCAUCACAGAGCCCAGCUGUGCACCUGACAGGUAUGGCCACUGCACCAUUUUCCAGGAGGGCCCUGUAGACUUCUGAGAGAGACACACAGCUCUUUCCCAGGUGAUGUCCCAGGCUAAAUUACAAAGGCAUUAUUUGCUCUGAAGCAAGCUUUAUUCUGUAUGGAAUCUGACUUUGCCUCCUGGGUCACUGUGAUUUUUGGUAGUAUCUCCCAGAUCCUGCUCUGCAGCCUUAUGCAUACCUCCAGGCUCAGCCCAGAGCCUCUAUGAGAGACGUGAGCUGCCAGUUAACAUUCAGCUUUCUAGGACCACGUAGGGCUUUUGCCUUUAACUACACAGGCAGAGGCUCCCUUCCCCCAGCCUUCCACUUAUCCCCAGCACAAUGAGUUCAGACACCUGCAAAACUGAACUUCCAGUGAAGUUGUCCCAGUGCAGGACAAAGGCAUGAGGUGCAGGGACGUGAGGGGCAGGGAAGCAGCUGCAGCAGAGGGGACACAGCUGGAUCCCUGCACACAGCACUGCCUCCCUGCCUGCCCCUUCUUCAUCCUUUUAAAGCCCAUUAGCUGCAAGCAAAGUAGUUUCUUCUUAAACCCCAUGCCUGGCACUACUGCUACCAGGCUAAAGUCUCUGGACAGGCUUCUUGCUUGAAAGCCUCACUGAACAGUAAAGGGAAGUGGUCUCAUUUGAUGUUUAUUCAUUGAGCUCUUUUCCUCUGCUCAGCAUUAUCCAAAUCGAGCAUGACAACUUUGAGGAGGUUGAAAUAAAUGAGCUUUCCCCAUUGGACCUGUGAACACCAGGAAUGGGAGAGCUAAAAAUCCCUGCCUUGUUUCACUGAGAUCGUGGUUUUUCUUGAUUCAUUGGAAGUGGCACACUGAUGACAUUGCUGUCCUGUGGCCAGCUGCUUGAAAGAUUUGGUUUAAAUACUUUCCUGUGCUAUGGUUUUCUUUAACAUAAAAGGAACCAUGAAACAUUGCAACUGCACAAAGUGAUAUGAAGUUGGACCUACAUGCUCAAGAGGUCUGUGACCCUUACAAAGCACUGCAGGCAAACGGUUUUUAAUGAAAUCAUAUGGGAGAUGAGCUUUGUCCAGGGUUUUGUUUGCCUCUUCCCACUCCAGUGAAAGGAAAAAAGAGGACAUACCCUUUCCUUAUUAAAAAAAAAAAAAAGGAGUGGGGGCUGUGUUAAGAGAGAUGCAGAGAGAAAAGAGAGCCAGACUAACGGUGACCUGUGUUCUACCUGAGACUGUCCCAUGGAUUAGCUGAAUUGCGACUGUGAUUUGAUAUGGAAUCUUUCCUGUUCCUAUCACUGAUCUGCUCUGUAUUCCCAUAUGUAAAUGGAAAGAAAAACAAUGAAUAGACAAGAAAAAGGGAGGACAGGUAGAGAGGAGUAGGAGGAUAAUGAGUUAAAAAAUAAAGAAUAAAAGGGUCAUCAAUUCUCAGGCUUCAGGAUUCAGAUCAAUAUUUAUACAUUAAGUUCCAUGAGGAAAUCUGCAGUUGUAUCAUUCAACUGCUUCCAGCAACAUUUCCUGCACUUCCUAUUGGCAUUGGGCAAGUGGAUCUUGUCCAAAAGUACCUGCUUUCCACAGCCCUUGUCCCUAGGUUAUUCAGAAUUAAUUGACUCCCACCGGGCUGGGCUGCAGAUGGAUAGAAGCUUUCUCACAACGUCUGCUCGGGCUCAGCAUGGGGGCAGGCAGGCGGGCCGGCUUCCUCCUCCUCCUCUUCCUCCACUUUCCUCUUCUGGAGCAUUAUGCUAUUGGCACUGGGGAGAGUUUUGUGUGUGCGUGUGUGUGUCCCCGUCUCUGAGAGGGAGAGAUGCUUGAAGAAAGAAAGGGAUAUGCAAAGAUUAAAGUCACAAGCCCCUCUUCAGCCCUGGCCUGCGCAGACACUUUUAUGUGAUUAGGAAUGCUUUGCUUUCAAGGGUUUGCUUUUAAGCCUUGAGCUUCUCUUGAACUUCUCCAAUAAGAAAACAAACAGCAGUGUCAAAGCCUCCCCCUGUGCCUGGAAUUUGAGCUCAAGUCGUGUCAUUAAAAAGCCACUUCGCUACUGGGACUUUGGCAUCUGAGUCACUGUUUCAAAGCCAGUCUGGGGCAGGAGAGAUCGAAAGUCAUUAAACAUCUAGUGGCUGUUUUGGUGGCCUAUUGAAAAAUGAAGUUUGGAAGGUUUCAGGGCCACCAGGAGGACACAGAACAAAUGCCGCCACCUGA